CGCCAAGGCGGAAACGCACCCACCGGCCAGGUGUUUGCUCGAUCGCCUGGUGGGCGCGGUUGACGGUCGGGCGGCGAAGCACCGCGCACCGGUCCGGCAUUUCGUCGAACACCCGCCGGUCGGCAGCGUUGGCCGCCUCGUUUCGUUCGGGGCCCUCGCAGCCGAACGGCCGAGAAGACCACCGGCCCCAGAAAGGAAUAUUCCACUCCAGCGGAUCCC
RNAcentral lists this long non-coding RNA (219 nucleotides) under Setaria italica (foxtail millet). RNAcentral's name for it is "long non-coding RNA (SITA_LNC002937)". The record is from RNAcentral. Lineage: Eukaryota; Viridiplantae; Streptophyta; Magnoliopsida; Poales; Poaceae.